GAUGAACGCUGGCGGUAUGCCUAACACAUGCAAGUCGUACGAGAGUUUUUAACUCUAGUGGCGGACGGGUGAGUAACACGUGAGAAUUUGCCUUUAGGAGGGGACAACAAUUGGAACGAAUGCUAAUAACCCCACUAUGCUUUCGAGUGAAAUGGAUUUUAUCCGCCUAGAGAGAAGCUCGCGGCUGAUUAGCUUGUUGGUAAGGUAAGAGCUUACCAAGGCGACGAUCAGUAUCUGGUUUGAGAGGACGAUCAGACACACUGGAACUGAGACACGGUCCAGACUCCUACGGGAGGCAGCAGUGGGGAAUUUUCCGCAAUGGGCGAAAGCCUGACGGAGCAAUACCGCGUGAGGGAAGAAUGCCCUAUGGGUUGUAAACCUCUUUUUUCUAGGGAGGAAUAAAAUGACGUGUACCUGAAGAAUAAGCAUCGGCUAACUACCGUG
This 444-nucleotide ribosomal RNA is filed under the name uncultured bacterium. Its description in RNAcentral is "bacterial SSU rRNA". It matches the Rfam family "Bacterial small subunit ribosomal RNA", at positions 28 to 507 of the family's 1533-position model. The record is from RNAcentral.